RNAcentral lists this ribosomal RNA (490 nucleotides) under uncultured bacterium. RNAcentral's name for it is "partial 16S ribosomal RNA". It matches the Rfam family "Bacterial small subunit ribosomal RNA", at positions 30 to 507 of the family's 1533-position model. The record is from RNAcentral.
AUUGAACGCUGGCGGCAGGCCUAACACAUGCAAGUCGAACGGUAACAGGAAGCAGCUUGCUGCUUCGCUGACGAGUGGCGGACGGGUGAGUAAUGUCUGGGAAGCUGCCUGAUGGAGGGGGAUAACUACUGGAAACGGUAGCUAAUACCGCAUAAUGUCGCAAGACCAAAGAGGGGGACCUUCGGGCCUCUUGCCAUCGGAUGUGCCCAGAUGGGAUUAGUUUGUUGGUGGGGUAACGGCUCACCAAGGCGACGAUCCCUAGCUGGUCUGAGAGGAUGACCAGCCACACUGGAACUGAGACACGGUCCAGACUCCUACGGGAGGCAGCAGUGGGGAAUAUUGCACAAUGGGCGCAAGCCUGAUGCAGCCAUGCCGCGUGUAUGAAGAAGGCCUUCGGGUUGUAAAGUACUUUCAGCGGGGAGGAAGGGAGUAAAGUUAAUACCUUUGCUCAUUGACGUUACCCGCAGAAGAAGCACCGGCUAACUCCGUG